ACUGAGCUCUCUUGCAAAUAUACAACAUCAAGUAUUUGCUUUAUUACUGUUACAUAAAAGGCUUAUAAAGUAAGCCUCGGUCAGAAGCUCAGCCAGUACAAAUGCUGGGCUGCAGCAACUGCAUUUCUGGACCCGGACUAUGGGUUUAAGGAAGCACCCUCAGUCAGCAGCUUCAAGUGAAAAGCCUUUUGUCCACUGAUAUGGAAGAAAGAAAAAUUAGAGCUGCUUCUCCUUCAGCUUUGGGGUGAAGACAGCACUGAUGGAACUGAGCACCCACAAACACACUGAAUUGCUGGACCAGGAAGGCAAGAAGCUACUUCAGAACAAGAACUCAGAAACUCUAUCUCCAUAGACUGCUUGAGCCUGCUCCAGUGAUUCAGAAGAGUGUUGGAAAGAGGAACUCCAGUUGCUUUGCACAGCAACGGCCCUAAGAAGAAAUGUUUUCCUAUUCAGCUGUGAGCAAAACUCAGGAAACUGGAGGACAGAGCCAUUCAUCAUGGGAUGCUUUGAUAUUCAUCCUGCUUUGCACAGUCUGGAAAAUCUGCUUGCAAUAGAAGAAGAGAGAAAGAAGGAGCAAGCUUGUGUGAGUUAUUAUGGAUUUGAGCUGUCUUCACAUGCUUUUCUAGGGACUGAAGUAGACACUACCACUGGCAUGUUUUGCGCCCACCUGGAGCUGAACUGUUUUUUGGGAUAGCUAGGGUAAUCUCCUGAGGCAUUAGGCAGUAAAAGCAGGAAAAGUAGGAAGCAGCUCAAGACAUCAAAAGAGACAGAGAUCUAAUCUCUACCAAUCCUCCAUGAAAAGCCGGCUCUGUCCCUACAGCCAUCACGGUGUACCCAUAGAAGACCUUUCCAUACACAUGAGCAGGGGACAUACUCUUGAGGCCUCUCAUCUUUUUAUUUUUGCAAAUCAAAUCUGCAGCACUCAUCUCAGUUCACAUUUAGCAAACAUGACCCUUAAUGCCUUUCAAACUAAUACACAUUUGGACAGCAGCAUAACUGGAGAAGUGUCUAACAAAGUGUGCCAGUAGAACUCCAGCAUAUUUCCUAUUUUAACAGUCUGUAAUUUGAGUGUUUGUUCUCUUGAGUGCCUUCAAAUUAUGCCAAUUUCUAGAGAUUAGAGUCUAGGCUAAGUACUCUUCAUGAACAGAUAUACAGUGGAUCUCUGUUUUACUUGGAAUAAGGUAUAUAUUUGAACUGAUUUCUCAUUGUCUGAAAAAGCUAUUCAGCUGGCCAUAAAAAUUGUGGGUUUGACAUGGGAAUGUUUCUGUGGCAUUGUUUUACAUAGCAGUGGUUGAAUUUGAAACUUUAGAUUCUCUUUGGACACUUCAGCUGUGAUGUGGUUUGAACUGGAGUACCCAAGGCUCUCUUUGAUUCCCUACCAAGGGAGAAGUAAAAUAUUAUUGUAUGUUUUUGAUGUCCAGAGAAGUCUAUGUUACUUUUGCUGCAGGAUCACCCUGUUAUGUUGCAGGUACAUUACCUUCCUGGUAAGUAAUGACAAUUAAUUUAUUUUUCUGUUUUGGGAAACUGUAUCAGAGUCAGGUUUAUAAACUUGAACUUAGUCUAAACCACUUACUGGGAAACAUUUCUGUUUACAGACAGAGUGGUGACUAAAGCUUAGUAAAAGUCUUUUAUUAAUCCUGUUUCAUAUACUGACUCAAAACAUAAUAAUGGGCAUAACCCACAACCUCAUCUACUUCAGGCAAUACAGCUAGAAAUUAAGUAAAAAAAAAAAAGCAUUGUGGGUGCUGUACUCCAUAUACAGCCUGAGUGCUCUUUCAAUAAGUUCUUGAAAAAUGUAGAUGAAAUGGGGAUGUAUUACCAAAGAAAUUUUAUGUGCAUGAUUGGUUUACCUCAUUCCUUACAAAGUAAUGCUGCCUUCUGACAGAAGAAAGAAAUUAGAAAAGUCAGCUACUCAUUUGCAUGAACAUGUAGACCUAGAAAAAGACUAGGGAAACACGUGUAAAAAAAGACUCUGGAUUUCAUUAUUUAAUUCUUUUGACAAAUGGAGACGUUGCUGCUUGAGGAAGAGUGAUAAAGUACAAUUGCUGCAGAUGAAGUUCACAAGACAGUGAGCAUUUUUCAGACCAUCUUAUUCACCAGUCAUUGUUAACACAAAUUAGCUAAGUAUUAGCUAGUGGGGAACUGUCUGUUUACUAGGUUUCAUCUCACAUAUAAUUGGAACUUUAUAUCAAAGUAACUUCUGAUGUAUAAUUUUAGGGGAGUUUUUCCAUUCACAUUACAUUUGAAUUAAACAUUUUUGAACCAUGCAUGAACAGUGGCUAAAAAAAUGUGUCUGGAUUUUUUAGAGUACACUGCGAGAAAUACGGAACUGCUAAACUCCAUUUCUGACUGUUCUUAGAUGAACUGAGGCAAAAUUUCUUUUGGAGUUUUGCCUGAGUAAAUCCUAUCAAAUUUGGCCUAGCUUUGCCUGUUGACAGUAAGAACAACAGUGUCACUGUGGUCUGUUCUGAGCCUGUCACAAUGCAAACUGCCUCUUGAAACAAUGACCUACAAUGUCAACUUCAGUACCCUGUGUGAGUAUCGACUUUACCUUUGCUUAGUCAAGAACAUUAUAAAAAGAAAACUGCAGAUAGACGGAAAAAAGGCAGAGAAUUUAGAAUGAAAAGAUUCAGUUGUUUAAAAAUAGGUUGGGUCCUAUGUGACCAUUUUAAAAAAUGAAGCUGUAACAGCCGUAUUUUUAAUAAUAAAAUAGCUCUACUGUGCAACUUCUGCUUUCUUCCAACAGAAUGGUGGUGUGUUGAAUUUCAAGGCUGACCCUGGAAAGCAUCUUAGGUGGCAAAGCAAAGAUCAAGGCCAAUGCCAAAUUUUUCUAAUUUAUAUUUCUCCAAUGCUUUGAGAGUCUGGAGGCAAGAUGAAGUCUGACUGGAUUGAGGGUAUUAUAUUCCCACAUACAUCUCAGGAAGAAAUUUCUUGGGACUAAAAAAAAUCAUAGAAGAAAAAAUCCCUUAUUCUUUUUGGCUUAGUAUAAGAAGUGCAUAUGCGAAAUGUAACUCAGGCGAGGCUUUUCAAAAUCUCUUGUUUCAGACUGAUACUCAUAACUGUGGAGGGUAUCCUUGAAUAAUGAAAUUGCUAUCAGCAAAUGACCCUCUUCUUCAGGAUCACAUGAAUGCCACUGCACGGUGCUGAAAGAAGAAAACGAGGUUGUAUUUCACUCAAGGACACAAGGAAAGCUGGAACUGGUUUCAUAUUUUCCCCCAUAUUUUCUUUUCCACUCUCAGUCAAUCUUCAUGGCUGAUGGUUAACAGGGUGCUUUGCUUCUAUGUGAGGAAGCGUUUGUUAUUGCUUGCUCACUAUUUUCCAUAGCAACACAAUGUCUCUGUUUAAGAUCCAGUGGAGAUGAGCAAACAGUAAAGCCUUUAAGAAGCAGUUUGUAAAAGAAGCUAAAUUAAACUUAACUCUUUCAGGUUAA
Columba livia (rock pigeon) is the source of this 3430-nucleotide long non-coding RNA. RefSeq lists it as uncharacterized. NCBI's taxonomy places the organism in Eukaryota, Metazoa, Chordata, Aves, Columbiformes, Columbidae. The transcript is spliced from 3 exons. The record is from RefSeq and is a predicted model, not a curated record.